This is a long non-coding RNA of Macadamia integrifolia, 990 nucleotides long. RefSeq lists it as uncharacterized. The transcript has 2 exons. Lineage: Eukaryota; Viridiplantae; Streptophyta; Magnoliopsida; Proteales; Proteaceae. The record is from RefSeq and is a predicted model, not a curated record.
UCCUAGGGUUAGCAUUAAACCCACAUUUUUUAAGAGCAUCCGAAGGCUCACAUCUUAGCCUCUGAGUCGUGACAGGUAAAUGUUUCAUAAUUUUAAAAAAUGGCAAGUAGAAAUGUCACUAAAAUCCCUUGAAAUGUUUUAUUGACCCUAAACAUUUUCUGAAAUGUCAGUUGUGUUCUUGGCCAAUUUAAGGCCAAAUGAGCCCAUUCAAGUUGUAUUUUUUUCCAAUUCGAGAGAGAAACGUCAUUGUGUAAGGAAAACUAGAAAAGGAAAGAUGAGGCCAUUGUAAGUGCAUUAAAGCCCUCCAACUACAUCCUUGAGUGUUUUAAAGUCAUGAUGAUGCCUCAAGAAUGUUGGUAAUUCCAUGUUGAAGAUGUGAAAAGGUUCUUACAGGGGAAGGAAAGAAAAAGAGAGAAAGAAAUAAACGGCAACCAUCUAGGCCAUUGAUUAAGGGUGAUUUUCCGUUUUCCUUGAAACAACCAAAGAAGGUUAUAUUCAAAGGGAGUGAGCUCAAGAUGAUCCUUGCAAUCUAAGGUGGUAAACUGCUCUUUAGAAGUCUCAUUUACAUGUGUAUGAUGUUGCAUGCCAAGUGUUUGGUGAAAUGCCCAAACAAACACUUAUAUAUGGUGAAAUUUGUACAUGUAAUGAACUCUAUUAGAGUUACAAAAAUGAGAAGUUGCACAAGGGCGGGUAUCAUACAUGGAGUUCCAUCCAAGUAUUGGGCAAGCCAUUAACAACCAAGGAUUGCACCGGGGAGGUAUUUUAUAUCUUACAAGUUUCAUUUUAUAUGUUUAUGUGGUUGUAUGCUAAGUGUUUGGUGAAAUGCCUAAACCAACAUUUGCGUUGUUUAUGGGGGGGGGGGGAUUUGUAUGGUGAUUGUUCAGAAUCACAUUAUCUGUAAUUGGGGCAUUCUAUAAGCCCCUAUUAUCAUUAUAACUAGUCAAUUUGGGAGUUGAUUGGAUUAAGGGCGAAACCCUUGCUUGAUUGUCA